RNAcentral lists this ribosomal RNA (465 nucleotides) under Vreelandella stevensii. RNAcentral describes it as "partial 16S ribosomal RNA". It matches the Rfam family "Bacterial small subunit ribosomal RNA", at positions 338 to 795 of the family's 1533-position model. The record is from RNAcentral. Lineage: Bacteria; Pseudomonadati; Pseudomonadota; Gammaproteobacteria; Oceanospirillales; Halomonadaceae.
CCUACGGGGGGCUGCAGUGGGGAAUAUUGGACAAUGGGGGGAACCCUGAUCCAGCCAUGCCGCGUGUGUGAAGAAGGCCCUCGGGUUGUAAAGCACUUUCAGUGAGGAAGAACGCCUGGUGGUUAAUACCCAUCAGGAAAGACAUCACUCACAGAAGAAGCACCGGCUAACUCCGUGCCAGCAGCCGCGGCAAUACGGAGGGUGCGAGCGUUAAUCGGAAUUACUGGGCGUAAAGCGCGCGUAGGUGGCUUGAUAAGCCGGUUGUGAAAGCCCCGGGCGCAACCUGGGAACGGCAUCCGGAACUGUCCAGCUAGAGUGCAGGAGAGGAAGGUAGAAUUCCCGGUGUAGCGGUGAAAUGCGAAGAGAUCGGGAGGAAUACCAGUGGCGAAGGCGGACUUCUGGACUGACACUGACACUGAGGUGCGAAAGCGUGGGUAGCAAACAGGAUUAGAUACCCCAGUAGUC